RNAcentral lists this ribosomal RNA (933 nucleotides) under Escherichia fergusonii. RNAcentral's name for it is "partial 23S ribosomal RNA". It matches the Rfam family "Bacterial large subunit ribosomal RNA", at positions 323 to 1260 of the family's 2925-position model. Lineage: Bacteria; Pseudomonadati; Pseudomonadota; Gammaproteobacteria; Enterobacterales; Enterobacteriaceae. The record is from RNAcentral.
UGUGUGUUAGUGGAAGCGUCUGGAAAGGCGCGCGAUACAGGGUGACAGCCCCGUACACAAAAAUGCACAUACUGUGAGCUCGAUGAGUAGGGCGGGACACGUGGUAUCCUGUCUGAAUAUGGGGGGACCAUCCUCCAAGGCUAAAUACUCCUGACUGACCGAUAGUGAACCAGUACCGUGAGGGAAAGGCGAAAAGAACCCCGGCGAGGGGAGUGAAAAAGAACCUGAAACCGUGUACGUACAAGCAGUGGGAGCCUCUUUAUGGGGUGACUGCGUACCUUUUGUAUAAUGGGUCAGCGACUUAUAUUCUGUAGCAAGGUUAACCGAAUAGGGGAGCCGAAGGGAAACCGAGUCUUAACUGGGCGUUAAGUUGCAGGGUAUAGACCCGAAACCCGGUGAUCUAGCCAUGGGCAGGUUGAAGGUUGGGUAACACUAACUGGAGGACCGAACCGACUAAUGUUGAAAAAUUAGCGGAUGACUUGUGGCUGGGGGUGAAAGGCCAAUCAAACCGGGAGAUAGCUGGUUCUCCCCGAAAGCUAUUUAGGUAGCGCCUCGUGAAUUCAUCUCCGGGGGUAGAGCACUGUUUCGGCAAGGGGGUCAUCCCGACUUACCAACCCGAUGCAAACUGCGAAUACCGGAGAAUGUUAUCACGGGAGACACACGGCGGGUGCUAACGUCCGUCGUGAAGAGGGAAACAACCCAGACCGCCAGCUAAGGUCCCAAAGUCAUGGUUAAGUGGGAAACGAUGUGGGAAGGCCCAGACAGCCAGGAUGUUGGCUUAGAAGCAGCCAUCAUUUAAAGAAAGCGUAAUAGCUCACUGGUCGAGUCGGCCUGCGCGGAAGAUGUAACGGGGCUAAACCAUGCACCGAAGCUGCGGCAGCGACACUAAGUGUUGUUGGGUAGGGGAGCGUUCUGUAAGCCUGUGAAGGUGUG